UGGGAUCAUGACCUGAGCCAAAGGCAGCUGCUUAACAACUGAGCCACCCAGGCACCACCCAGGCGCCCCCACCCCCCACAAAAAGAGAUCUUAAUGUCGAGAGCUCAUAGACUUAAGGAACAAAGUAAAAUAGGGUCAACUCAGUGCCAGUAAGUGCUGAGUGUUAGAGGCAGAAGCUGACCCUGGGGUCAAGGCUGGAAAGGGCAUUUUAAGCCAAACCCAGGGGGCAUACAAAGGCAGGAGGCGGGAAAACGAAUUUUUUGGGCCAGAUGGCUUUUUAAGCCAAGCCCAGGA
Long non-coding RNA from Mustela erminea (ermine), 294 nucleotides. RefSeq lists it as uncharacterized. The record is from RefSeq and is a predicted model, not a curated record. NCBI's taxonomy places the organism in Eukaryota, Metazoa, Chordata, Mammalia, Carnivora, Mustelidae. The transcript has 3 exons.